CAUACUUCUCGGCUUUUUAGCUAAGAUCAUGUGUAGAAAAAGUUCUUUUCGCUGUGAGAAGCGAAAUACAUCCUAUUGGAUGUAAUUCUCUCACAAUAAUUUUUUCAGGGUGUCAAAAAAUGAGUUACUGCUUGCAGCAACCUUUUUUGAAAAGUCAGCUCUGUCUUUACUACACAGAAUGUGGCUAACCCGGU
Danaus plexippus (monarch butterfly) is the source of this 194-nucleotide small nuclear RNA. RefSeq annotates it as U2 spliceosomal RNA. Lineage: Eukaryota; Metazoa; Arthropoda; Insecta; Lepidoptera; Nymphalidae. The transcript has a single exon. The record is from RefSeq and is a predicted model, not a curated record.